UUAUUCAUAGAUUACUUUCUGCUGACUAAUGAUCAGUAAUAGCGUUGAUAUGUGUUUCAGUUACAAACAGAUCCUUUCUGUGACAAUAUUUUUGCUUGCUGAAUGAACUUGUACGUGAGAAGACAGAGAGAUAUAUUUCACACAAUGGUGUACAUUACUUUUCCGAGUACUCUUACAGAAGAAGAAGAAACACUAAAACAGAAAUAUGCUAAACUCCGCAAAAAGCGAAAAGCUUUACAAGCACUGAAGACUGCAAAACCAGAAUCACUGCAAAAGAAUGCAGAGCAGAGUGCAAAAAGAUCUGCAGAGUCAGCAGAAGAGGCAACAGAACAGGCCAAAAAACUGGUCCAGUCUGGGGCCAUUAAGGUUGGAUCAGGUUCCAGAGAAAAGAAAGGAUUUAAACGAUCAAAGAAUCUGGAAAAAAAAUUAAGGGAAACAGACAAGAGUGUAGGAUUUUUACCAUUUGACUCAUCUCACAGUGGGGAAGAGGAUGAGAAAACAGAAUCAAUCAAACCAAAGAUGAAAGGGCUGUAUGAAAGUUUUACACCUGCAGGAAGUUCAGAUUAUGAUGGAGAGAGCCGACGUAGUGGCCCCAGUAGGCGGGAUCGUGAGCCACCAGCAAAGGGUCAUACAGUUUUUGUACAUGGACAUGGUGUGACAGAGGAUAUUAUCAGGAAACAUUUCUCAAACUUUGGAAAUAUAGUCAAUGUGAGCAUUGAGCGGGAAAAAAAGUAACAAUGCCUUUGUAACAUUUGAAAAAAUGGAGUCUGCUGACCAAGCAAUAGCAAACGCAAAUGGAUCCAUGAUGUCAGACAUACUGCUAAGAGUAUCCAUGGCGAUAAGGCAAGCCAACAUU
RNAcentral lists this unclassified non-coding RNA (856 nucleotides) under Pomacea canaliculata. RNAcentral's name for it is "negative elongation factor E-like, transcript variant X2". The record is from RNAcentral. Lineage: Eukaryota; Metazoa; Mollusca; Gastropoda; Architaenioglossa; Ampullariidae.